Molecule: ribosomal RNA, 418 nt
Filed under: uncultured bacterium
Lineage: Bacteria
Description: bacterial SSU rRNA
Rfam family: Bacterial small subunit ribosomal RNA
Source: RNAcentral
UCUUGCGCAAUGGGCGAAAGCCUGACGCAGCGACGCCGCGUGAGCGAUGAAGGCCUUCGGGUUGUAAAGCUCUGUGGGGAGAGAAGAAUAAGGGCUGGCUAAUACCCAGCUCGAUGACAGUAUCUCCUUAGCAAGCACCGGCUAACUCUGUGCCAGCAGUCGCGGUAAUACAGAGGCCCCGAGCGUUAAUCGGAAUCACUGGGCUUAAAGGGUGCGUAGGCGGGCCAGUAAGCGCUUUGUGAAAUCCCACGGCUCAACCGUGGAACCGCAGGGCGAACUGCUGGUCUUGAGGAAGCUAGAGGCGGGUAGAACGAUAGGUGGAGCGGUGGAAUGCGUAGAGAUCUAUCGGAAUGCCGAAAGUGAAGACAGCCCGCUGGGGCUUUCCUGACGCUAAAGCACGAAAGCGUGGGGAGCAAAC